Molecule: non-coding RNA, 255 nt
Organism: Dermacentor andersoni
Lineage: Eukaryota; Metazoa; Arthropoda; Arachnida; Ixodida; Ixodidae
Source: RefSeq, a predicted model, not a curated record
UUGACAUAACCCUGUAUGUAUUGUAGGAACAACCCAGGACGGGCAUUUCUCAGCACCCAGUCAACUGCCAGAAGUGACUCAAACACAGGCCACCAGUGGCACUCGGCUGUACCACUGCAGUGCUGCGGAAAUUGCCAGCACCAGCGGCUUUGCAACAGCUGUUUCACAGCAUGUCGGAGACAAUGCCUACGAAAUUAUUCGCCCUGAUGACGAGAGCCCUCAAGGGGCAAACGACAUCUCUGUUGCAGAAGUGAG